This 2406-nucleotide long non-coding RNA is filed under the name Nicotiana tabacum (common tobacco). Its description in RNAcentral is "long non-coding RNA (NTAB_LNC005932)". The record is from RNAcentral. Lineage: Eukaryota; Viridiplantae; Streptophyta; Magnoliopsida; Solanales; Solanaceae.
GGGCCAAGACCAAAAUCUCACAGCCCAAUUUUUUCCCAUUGAUCUUCUAUGAUCGCACGGCCCGAAAUUGACCCUCAUCUCCCAUAUAAGUGUCUAACCCCACCCCCAAACCCUAGAGACCCCCUCCCCCACUUUUCUUCGUCUCAUUCACUAUAACCUAAAACCAUAGCCGCCCUAAUUCUCCAUCCCCUCCCACCAACCGCCGCCCACCGGAAAUUGCCUCACGGUGGCGGCGAUGCUCCAAACUCUCCCAAAUUAACCCCAUGCAAUCCUCAUUCCCUCCUCUUUCUAAAUCCAUCAAUAGUUCUCCCAAAAGCCCUACCUAUUUUCUUCAAAUCCGGAUCUAAAAAACUGAAAACCCUAAAUUUCCCCCUUCUCUAGUUGUUGUCACUCCCUAGCCGCUCGUUUUGACCUAGAACCUACAUCAAUGGAUUGUUCUUGACAAGAACAAUCACUUGACGUUGGUUUUUGUUCAUUCCAAAUUCGCGAGGAAUCUGCUUUCAAUCUGUCUUUCUCUUUUGGGGUAUUCACUUGUCCUUCUUGUCUUGCUUUGUUGCUUUAAUUGUUCUAAGGAAAGUUAAAGAAAAAGAGAAGAAAAACAGUUGUUAUUUUAAUUAAGAUUUUAUGUUUAAUUACUGUUUCACUUAGUUUUUUUUUAAUUAUUGUUCUGUUUAAUACCGUUUAAUUUCCUGCUUUUGUUAAUGAACAAGUUAGCUUAUAGUUAAUUAGUAUUAAUUAGUUCAAUCAUGUUCUAAACUUUCAGCAUUCAUAAUUUUACAGUUGUUUGUCAUUCAAUAUUUGGUUUGUAUGAGUUUGGGCUUCUGUGUGUCGCUGGUUUGGACAGUAGAAGGCCAAUUUGUUUGAACCUAAACCUUUGGUCAGUUGGCCCAAUAAUUGGUAUUGUUGGAAAGUAAAUACAAGGGUAUUGGGGGGUUAAAUUGGGGCUUUUGACUUGAAGAACAUUUUCUGUUAUGACAAAAGAAGAGUCUAGAAGAUAAGGUAAGGUUUUAUUCAAAUAAAAUAAAAACAUCUCAGCUGUUUUUGGGGUCUAGAGGGGUAAAACAAAAGCUUGAAGGGUAAAAUUGAAUGAAAAAACCAGAUAUAUGGUUGCCCUAGAAUACUCAUAUAAAGGGCUCAUUUCACUCACUUUGAGAGCAGAGAAAAACAUAGAAAAAAGAAGAAAAAGACUGCAUACAUAGAAAUAGAAGUUUUCAUAAAAAACAAAGAAAAUGGUUGGAUUUCAGUUCUGAUAUCGAAUUUUUCACUUCAUUUCUUUCUGGAUUUCUGGAUUUGUCAUUUGUUGUGUAGCUGGGAUAUUGAAGCUGUUUUCCUGGUAUUUCUACCGUUUAGACUUGUUGAAUCUCUCCAUUUUUGGCCUUUUUAGCCUUUAUUUGGCAAAAUCCAGUUUUUGUUUACAAAUCUAGGUGCACCUCUCACUCUUGUACUUCUAUUUUCAAUUUGAGAUGAAAUGUUUGGUUGUUCUUUGUUUGUCUGUUGAGGUGGUGUAAAUUAUUGCUUAUCUUGUCUUGAAUCUUGAAUUAAUGUGAGCUUAAUAUGUUUAAGGAUGGAAACUUGCUUUUAGAUUUGCCUUUGAAAAAGCAACUACAGGUAACUCUAUGGCCAUAACAUUAAUUGAUUUCCCACAUUAAUUUAGACUUCAACAUGUGUAUCCUUCUAACAAAUACUCGUUGCUUAUAUUUGAACAUUAUAAAAAAUCUAAAUCUGUUUCAUAGCUUCUUGAUAAGUUGAGGUUCAGUGGAUCAUUUGCAGGUCAGUACUUGUGGAUCUAGCCACUCGUUGGUUCGAUUUGCAGUUCAAGGCAUGAGCAAAGUUACACCUCUAUCACAUUUUCGUGGUUUGGGUCUGUUAUACUUUAAAUAUUAUCUAGGAUUUGAUCAUGUGAAGCUUGGGCAUUCUAUAAUGAAGGAUGGGCGUGUGAUUUUGAGCCUAUAGUUGUGUAUUUUAUAAAUGGCAGUAUAUGUGUUUAGAUGUCCAUUCAAAAAACUUAUUUGUACAGUUAUUCACCUAUUGUAUUAAAGUUAUUGUACUAUUUAGUCUUGUCUUCUACUAAUAAUUUAGAUGUUGUAACAGCCAAGGCAAAAAAAUUAGGAGUUAGAAGCAUUAGUCAAGUCUGCUUGAUUGCUCUUUCUAAUAUAAAGUGUGUGUUUGUGUUAAAUAGCAUAGGUGUUAGUGUCCUGACUUGAUGCCAUUUUGAUAUUUCUGUAAAAAUCAAUUAUGCUCCCUCGGGAAUUGGAUCAGAGGGUUUCGUUUGAAGCCUUGCAUUUUUGGGGUUAGUGUAUGCUACUAGUUUGAAGUAGUGAAAAACAAAAGGCAUUUUUUUAACUUGAAAGGGCAGAUCUUGAGUGGUUUCAUGGAUUCGUAAAGUAAGCCUUGUAUGACGUUUAG